UUUUUACAGUCUCAAGACAAAGAAAAUUUCUGCUGGAAGGUUAGCAUUAGGUGAUUGCUUGGGACGUUAUAGCGUUGGGAGCCAAGAAGCUUGUUAAGUUAUUCUCAGGUGCUUUUGGCAAGGUUACAAAGGGGCUCGUCAGCUUCGGAGGUGACCUUGGUUCUGGGCUCCACUUCUGAGGCCUUGGUGCGAGGCCUCGCAUCUGUGGCCUUGGGGCAGGACUCAACAAUUACUUCUGUGCUAACAAAGGCCUUCAGUAAAUAUUCAACUAUUAGGCCGCAAAUAAGUACCAGCCUCCACAGAGUCGAGCCUACGUGAAAUUAAGGAGACAGAAGAAUGGUCAAAAAGAUGUUCAACACCAUUGAUCGUUGCUGCUGCUGCUAUGUCGCUUCAGUCGUGUCCCGACUCUGUGUGACCCCAUAGAUGGAAGCCCAUCAGGCUCCCCUGUCCCUGGGAUUCUCCAGCCAAGAACAGUGGAGUGUGUUGACAUUUCCUUCUCCAAUGCAUGAAAGUGAAAAGUGAAAGUGAAGUUGCUCAGUCGUGUCCGACUUUUAGAGACCCCAUGGACAGCAGCCUACCCAGCUCCUACAUCCGUGGGAUUUUCUAGGCAAGAGUACUGGAGUGGGGUGCCAUUGCCUUCUCUGAUGAUCGUUAAGGAAAGGCAAAUGGAAAUCAACAUUGAGAUACCCACUUCACACCCAGUAGGAUGACUAUAAUAAAAAAGACAGAUAAUAACAAUGAUGUGGUGAAAUUAGAGCCCUUAUACACUGCUAUCCAAAAUGUAAAAUGGUGUCAUCACUUUGUAAAAAUAGUUCGGCAGUUUCUCAACUGAUUAAAGUUAACAUCUGCCCCUAUAAUUUUACCCAAGGGUACGGAAAAUAAAUGUCUACACAAAAACAUUUACAUAAAUGCUCAUAGCAAGAUUAUUCUUAAUAGUCAAAAAGCAGAAUAACCUAAAAGUCCCUAAACUGAUGAAUGGAUAAACAGAAUAUGGAAGAGCCAUACAAUGGAAUGUUAUUAAGCAAUAAAAAAAAGUAUUGAGACAUGCUACAACAUGGAUGAACCUUGAAAACAUUAGGCCAAGUAAAGAAGCCAGUCACAAGGACCAUGUAUUGUAUGAUUCCAUUUAUAUGAAAUUUCCAAAACAGGAAAAGCUAUGGAGACAGAACAUAGAGUAGUGGUUGGGCUGGAAGAGGAAGGAGCCGAGUGACUGCUACUGGGUAUGGGGGUUUUUGUUUGAGUGAUGAAAAUGUUCGAAAUUUCUGGUGAUGGCUGUACAAUUCUGUGAAUAUAGUGAAAUCAAUUGAAAUGUAUAGUUUAAGU
Bos taurus (domestic cattle) is the source of this 1323-nucleotide long non-coding RNA. NCBI's taxonomy places the organism in Eukaryota, Metazoa, Chordata, Mammalia, Artiodactyla, Bovidae. The record is from Ensembl.